This 467-nucleotide ribosomal RNA is filed under the name uncultured bacterium. Its description in RNAcentral is "bacterial SSU rRNA". It matches the Rfam family "Bacterial small subunit ribosomal RNA", at positions 29 to 506 of the family's 1533-position model. The record is from RNAcentral.
AUGAACGCUAGCGGCAGGCCUAAUACAUGCAAGUCGAACGGGGUAGCAAUACCCAGUGGCGCACGGGUGCGUAACGCGUAUGCAACCUACCUUCAACUGGGGGAUAGCCCGGAGAAAUCCGGAUUAAUACCGCAUAACACAACUUGAUGGCAUCUGAGGGUUGUUAAAGAUUUAUCGGUUGGAGAUGGGCAUGCGUGCCAUUAGCUAGUUGGUGGUGUAACGGACCACCAAGGCGACGAUGGCUAGGGGGUCUGAGAGGAUGGUCCCCCACACUGGCACUGAGAUACGGGCCAGACUCCUACGGGAGGCAGCAGUAGGGAAUAUUGGGCAAUGGGCGGAAGCCUGACCCAGCCAUGCCGCGUGCAGGAUGAAGGCCUUCUGGGUUGUAAACUGCUUUUACCAGGGAAGAAAACACCCAUGCGUGGGGAACUGACGGUACCUGAGGAAUAAGCACCGGCUAACUCCGU